GCUGAAAAUGGACUCCACUAAGAAAUAGAAUCCAUUAGACGUUAUCAUAUAAUGCAAAUCUGACUUUUUUUCCCAGGUGGUCAAGAAGCUGUGUGGGGAAGGUCGCGGUUCACCAGCAUUGGGAACGAGCACUCACAGAUAGUGACCUUUGUGCUGACUUGUGAGGAGUCCACUCCGCGGCUCACGCCCAUGUGCAGUGGAGUCAUGGAGAGGUUCCGGCUGGCCAGUCAGCCUGUCCAGAAGCUCCUCUACGUGGACCGUGGGUGUUGCCGGUCUCAGGGCACAACAGGAGUGCGGCUGGACAUCUUCCACUGGAUCCACAGAUUUGACGCGGAGUCCCACUGUAAGUAUGCAGUGUUCAAGUCUGCUCUAGCUGGGGCAGUUUUGGCCCACAACCGCCCGGACCUGGAGCUGCUCAUGAAAGCCAUCAGAGCCAAGAACCCGGAGAGUCUCGGACGAGGACAUUGUCCGCUGCCACAUCUCCAGGGAUCAGCUCAAGCACCAUGUGAGGAGGGUUACACUCGGUGCUCAGGAGACCUUUCGGCUCAUCCAGCCAUCGAGGAGAUGAAAGGUCCCGUUGGGCUGGACGAGAGCGGAGUUAGCCUCUUCAAAACACCUGAUAUUAAGCGCCCCAUAAAAUAGGUUAUUACAACAUUAAUAUAGAGUAGCAUACAAAGUGAACAUAACACACUGCAUGCAUGUGUAUUUACAGAGGCUAUCGAUGAGAUGUGGGCAGGCCAGCUGGAGUGCAUCCAGGAUCCACCAGGCAUGAACAUGUAUAGGGUGGCGCGUAGCACAACUAUCAAUAAUGUGGACGUGCCCCAUUACAAAUGUCUGCGUGGAAGCAACAGCCUGGAAGGAUUCCACAAAUCGCUGCCACACAUGAUUCCAGGUGAUUUCUCGUGUUAUAACAAACUAAUCAGGUGACUUUGACAAUAUUCUAGAGAGAAAGCACAGGCUGAACUAUUAAUUAAUUAAACAUAAAACACUUCACUCUACGACGGCAACACAUCAGGGAAUGUUUCACUGGACAGGACGGUGAUGAGAAGAGAAAAAAUCUGUAAAAAGUACAUGAUAUUUACCAAAGAGAUGUAUUGGCUUGUAAGUGUGAAGUAGCUUCAAAUGGAAAAUGAUAAAAUAUCGUGGACUUAAGUUAAUUAGUUAAAUAAAUGUGCUUAGUUACAUUCCAGCUCAAGAUGAAGGUUUUACUGUCAUGUGUACUUGUGUGGAGUUAUCAGGACAAAUUGACAUUAACGCUUUGUUUAACUUUGUUCUACUCAGGGCCCCAUUGUGCAGCACGGCCCUAUCAGGUUUACCUGAUGAGUGGCAUUGCUCGGUGGAAUUCGGACAGGAGUUUGGACGCCGUGUUUGGUGGCAAAGGACAGAAUCACAGGAAAUACUCUGCGCCGCUCAUUCACCGCCUCAACACCCGCUGUCAGCAGCUGUUUGGCGAGACUGGAGGAGAAUUUCCGGGCCCCCGCCAAUGUUGCUUCCAACGAGUUGCUUGGGUUGGAAUAUUUAUUCAGCCAACGCACGGGUGUAUCCGAACCCUUUUCCCUGGUGGACAUCAUCAAUGAUGGACCUGGUCCAGAGGAGGAGGUGGUUCAGCACGGGCAGCCCGAUCCAGAGGCUGACGAGGCGUACCAGAGCGACGGGGAGGCUGGUGGCAACGUGUUGGAUGCCAUCCUGCCCCACAUUAAUCUCACCAGCGACGAAACUGCAACUCUUCACCCUCCAGCCUCUGGUACAAACCAAAGACCAAGUCACAGCAUAUGCAGCGAGAGCGAACUGGUCCAAAACCGGGCUUUUUAAAGAGCCCAGCCAGCUGCGACCACUGACGAGGGGGUGGAUGGCUGCAGUCCAAACCCGCUUCCUGGCUUUGAAAAGCUAUAAAAGUUCUGUUCUGGUGGCAAUCAGCCCGACAGAGGACAAGCUGACGCUUUCCACUGAGCAGAGGAACGAGGUCCUUGAAUCCCGGAAUGCUGUGGAGGAGCACGACAAGCAGCCGCAGCAGUUCAACCAGCUGUACAGAAGGAUCCGAUCCUCUGCAAGGCCGGCAUUCCUCUGCCAAAGAUCAACGUCAAAACUGUGCAGGACUUCACCCGGCGUCAGGAGCGCCUCCUGAACAUGAAUCCCACAAAACAGUCCUCUACUGUAACGAAGAUCACCUCCAUUUCAUCUGCUGACCUCCCUCGAGCACUACACCAGCCGUCAGUCCUCCACCACUCUACCCUCUGAUGGAGUACGGGGCCAUCCCCAGCACAGCAGGGACUACGGUGUUGAAGGGAAGGACGGACAUGAUGAUGGCUCUCUUCCGGCCUCUACCACCACUGCAACUCCUGCAACCGCUGGCGGCUGUAAAAAAAAAAUCCUGCCACCUCCACCAUCUCCAGACCUGUACCCUCCAUGUCCAGCUCCGCAGCCGACACGGAGUGCGCUGGCCCCUCCACUCGGCCAAUAUUGCCUGCAAAUCCUCCUGCAUCACUGCCAUCUCUGUCCACAAUGCCUACUGCUUGUGAUUUAAGUUCACCAUCCUGGGCAAGAUCCACGCAGUACAAGCGAAAGAGUAUGGAACAUCCCUCUGCAGUUGGAGUCGAGGUGUCGCGGGUGCACAAACUCCCUCUCUGUACAUGACACUUCUUUUUGUGUAGGUAAUAUGUUAAAUAAAUUAC
This is a long non-coding RNA of Gasterosteus aculeatus aculeatus (three-spined stickleback), 2672 nucleotides long. The record is from Ensembl. Lineage: Eukaryota; Metazoa; Chordata; Actinopteri; Perciformes; Gasterosteidae.